RNAcentral lists this ribosomal RNA (273 nucleotides) under uncultured bacterium. RNAcentral's name for it is "partial 16S ribosomal RNA". It matches the Rfam family "Bacterial small subunit ribosomal RNA", at positions 524 to 796 of the family's 1533-position model. The record is from RNAcentral.
UACGGAGGGUGCAAGCGUUACUCGGAAUCACUGGGCGUAAAGCGCGCGCAGGCGGUUUUUUAAGUUGGAUGUGAAAUCCUAUAGCUUAACUAUAGAACUGCAUCCAAAACUAUUAGACUAGAGUCUGGGAGAGGUAAGUGGAAUUAGUUGUGUAGGGGUAAAAUCCGUAGAGAUAACUAGGAAUACCAAAAGCGAAGGCAACUUACUGGAAUAGUACUGACGCUGAGGCGCGAAAGCGUGGGGAGCAAACAGGAUUAGAAACCCGAGUAGUCC